This 659-nucleotide ribosomal RNA is filed under the name uncultured Actinomycetes bacterium. RNAcentral describes it as "SSU rRNA". It matches the Rfam family "Bacterial small subunit ribosomal RNA", at positions 245 to 915 of the family's 1533-position model. Lineage: Bacteria; Bacillati; Actinomycetota; Actinomycetes. The record is from RNAcentral.
CUUGUUGGUGGGGUAACGGCCUACCAAGGCGACGACGGGUAGCCGGCCUGAGAGGGCGACCGGCCACACUGGGACUGAGACACGGCCCAGACUCCUACGGGAGGCAGCAGUGGGGAAUAUUGCGCAAUGGGCGGAAGCCUGACGCAGCGACGCCGCGUGGGGGAUGAAGGCCUUCGGGUUGUAAACCCCUUUCAGCAGGGACGAAGCGGAAGUGACGGUACCUGCAGAAGAAGCGCCGGCUAACUACGUGCCAGCAGCCGCGGUAACACGUAGGGCGCAAGCGUUGUCCGGAAUUAUUGGGCGUAAAGAGCUCGUAGGUGGUCUGUUGCGUCCGCUGUGAAAUCUCAGGGCUUAACCUUGAGCCUGCAGUGGAUACGGGCAGACUAGAGGUAGGUAGGGGAGAAUGGAAUUCCUGGUGUAGCGGUGAAAUGCGCAGAUAUCAGGAGGAACACCGGUGGCGAAGGCGGUUCUCUGGGCCUUACCUGACACUGAGGAGCGAAAGCGUGGGGAGCGAACAGGAUUAGAUACCCUGGUAGUCCACGCCGUAAACGUUGGGCGCUAGGUGUGGGGUCCUUCCACGGAUUCCGUGCCGCAGCUAACGCAUUAAGCGCCCCGCCUGGGGAGUACGGCCGCAAGGCUAAAACUCAAAGGAAUUGACG